Long non-coding RNA from Microtus oregoni (creeping vole), 477 nucleotides. RefSeq lists it as uncharacterized. Lineage: Eukaryota; Metazoa; Chordata; Mammalia; Rodentia; Cricetidae. The transcript has 4 exons. The record is from RefSeq and is a predicted model, not a curated record.
AGUCAUCAUUGCCACCAAUGGUCUGGGUCAUUGGCUGUGCACACACAUCCACAGACAGUACAACAACAGCCUCUAGUCCCUUGUUGCUGACCUUUGGGAAGCUGGGCAUGUAAGGCCAUACAUGAUCUACAGUGUACUUGUAGAGGUCAGAGGACAACUUGCAGGAGUCAUUUCUCUGCUUCCACAAUGUGAGUCCUGGGGAUCCAACUGAAGUCAUCAGAAGCAGUACUCGGGCUUCUAUUACACUUUAAUACGAUCUACAUAUAAGAACAGGGGAGAAAACAGUGAACUUUCCAUGCAGAACCAACUCCUGGAGAAGAACCAAAUGUGGUGUGGUCUGGUCAGCCUGUUACCUGAGCAAGAGUGACAAGAUCAUGUGGGACUCACCAGGUCAGUCAUUUCCUUUUCUCUUCCCAUCCGUGUGACCAGCAGCAGGUCUGUGAUGCCUUGUAGGAACACAUCCUGUUGAGCAGGUAG